UACGUAGGGGGCAAGCGUUGUCCGGAAUCAUUGGGCGUAAAGAGCGUGUAGGCGGCUCGGUAAGUCCGCUCUGAAAGCCCGGGGCUCAACCCCGGGAGGCGGGUGGAUACUGUCUAGCUCGAGUCCGGAAGAGGAGUGUGGAAUUCCUGGUGUAGCGGUGAAAUGCGCAGAUAUCAGGAGGAACACCAAUGGCGAAGGCAGCACUCUGGGACGUGACUGACGCUGAGACGCGAAAGCGUGGGGAGCAAACAGG
RNAcentral lists this ribosomal RNA (253 nucleotides) under uncultured bacterium. RNAcentral describes it as "partial 16S ribosomal RNA". It matches the Rfam family "Bacterial small subunit ribosomal RNA", at positions 524 to 776 of the family's 1533-position model. The record is from RNAcentral.